UUUUGAUUGGAAGUGAAAUCUUAUGAGGCCCCGGAAGUGUGGGGCUAUUGAUGAUCUGGAAAUAAUAAAAUGGAAAAAAUUUGUGAAUUCUGCACAGCAUUGAGGCCGGUAGUUUACUGCAAGGCUGAUGCAGCAUAUCUUUGCCUUUCCUGUGAUGCAAAGGUGCAUUCAGCUAAUGCUCUCUCCAACCGACAUCUGCGUACCCUCCUAUGUGACUCAUGCAGAAAUCGCCCAGCUUAUGCUAGGUGUUUGGAUCACCGGAUGUUC
RNAcentral lists this unclassified non-coding RNA (267 nucleotides) under Hevea brasiliensis (rubber tree). Lineage: Eukaryota; Viridiplantae; Streptophyta; Magnoliopsida; Malpighiales; Euphorbiaceae. The record is from RNAcentral.